UUGAUAAGUUUUGAGCCUAGAUGAUUUAGGUAUGCAUUGGUAUGAAUUUUGGGGUAUUUGGAGCUUCGGAAAUGGUCCAGAAGCAUCAAAAAACGCUGCCCCCAAAGUGCGCACGACGUGCUGCACUUCAGCACGUCGUGCUGGUGCGCGACGUGCACCAGAAGGGUGCACGACGUGCACCACAAGGGUGCACGACGUGCACCAGUGAAGGGCACGUCGUGCCCUUCAUGAAAAAUGAAGGGCACGAGGUGCCAAGCUAGCACGACGUGCCCUACUUCGAUCGUGACCUCCGGGGGACUUCCGGGAGCGAAAAUUGGCCUCUGAUGGCAUGAUAUGGGCGUAGAACUCUGACAAAUGUCUUAAAAUGAAUAUUAAUAAGACAUUAUAGCAAUGAACAUUAACAUGAUGAGUAAUAGAGAUAUGAAUAGAGAUCUAUAGAGAAAGAUACGUUUAGAACACGACGAUUAUAUUUCGUGCUUUUGUCGUGUUAGGUACCUAGUGCAGUUUUUAAGAACAAGAUUCUCUAAGUAUAUAUUUUAACGAUAGAAUCCUGUGAUAGAUGUGACGGACUAUCGAUCUACGAGUAUGACGAACCAAGAAGCUCGACGAGGAUUGACGGACCAGUCUCCUGGAGCUUACGUUUGGAUAUAAGGAAUAGCGAUCGUUGUGUUUAGAGUCGGAUCAGACAGACCGUCUUUGGUGUGCUGAGUACGAGUCCCCUUGGUGCUGCAGUAGUAUACGUAUGACGAGUCUUAGCAUAGAAUAGUCAGGUCUUAUAGGUUGUGUACAUAUUUAAUGUUUGUUUGAUGUGACGUCUUUUGGUUGUCAGUUUUGUAUUGAUCGAUAGACGGGCUAGUACGUACAAGUUACGGAAGUGAGAUGCCCACUAUGGUUGUAUCGAUGAUGUGAUAUAUAUGAUGUACGUUAUGAUUGUAAACGUGUCUUCUUAUUACAUGUUUAUAGGAUAGUUGUGUUUGCGUUUCCGCGAAAAAGUUAGAGUGGUUUUAGGCUUGCUACGGGUUUCGGAGCUACCACUCCCAUUCCCUAGCGCCGGUCUCGGCUCAAUAAUUUGGGUCGUGACAAAGUUGGUAUCAGAGCAGUUGGUCCAGUUACCUCUGCUAAUAUAUGAUUUGAGUGCAGUUAGUCCAUGAUACCACUGCGAGUCUGUGAUUGAUGUUUGUUUGUUCCUAGGUAUUAGGUCAUUAGACUAAGCUAGGAACUACUGCAGCUAUAGAAUUGAGCCAUGUCUGAUCCAAGUCGUUUGUAUUAUUUGUUUUAAGAUCGAGCUGAUUGAUUGUGAAUUUUUGAUUGAUUGAGAAUUCUUGUUUGUUUCAUUAUGAUAAGUAUGAUCGAUGGAUUGUGAAA
Long non-coding RNA from Mercurialis annua (annual mercury), 1365 nucleotides. RefSeq lists it as uncharacterized. The record is from RefSeq and is a predicted model, not a curated record. NCBI's taxonomy places the organism in Eukaryota, Viridiplantae, Streptophyta, Magnoliopsida, Malpighiales, Euphorbiaceae. The transcript has 2 exons.